AUCGGUCUUUUAUGGGCGAGGACAGUAGCAUCAACUGUUUGACAGUCAAUGGCUUGACGAGUAAACAGACCUGCGUUAACUGAGUUUGGAAGUGGAAGUCGAAGGGCGUGUCUUUACAGUUGUUGGAGUGUAAGAAAGAACAGAUUAGUAACAACCAUCGAUUGUGUUGGACGCAGACGGCGCUCGCAGAAAAAUGCAUGCUGCCGCUUGAAGAACGUGACUUUGGUGACGAGCGGUCUGAACGAGACUUUGUUCUCUGACGACCCGCACACGAUGACUUAGACGGGUACCUGACAAAACCGAGCCUGAACAACCGUCAUAUACCUGGCCUUUCAGGUGUGGUGUGGGUAGAGCUGGGAAGAAAAAAAAAAAUCAGUUGGUCGACGUCAGCAAAGGCCGUGAGCAGGUAAUGCAACUGUUUGCGUGCUGCAGACCACACGCGUGCUCCGGUAACCGUCGGCGACAGCCACCUUUUGUGAACUGCCAGCGCGUGUGAGCGCGUGUCUUUGUAAGUAAACAACGCGGUGUUCAAUAGGUUGCCACCUAACGAGCGGCGCUUUUAUUUGAAGUGACGUAACACAGACAGUUGUAUAUAUAGGGACAGUCACGGUCCUGGCGAUACACUUCACCGCACCACCACUAGAAGCACCAGAGUCGCCAGACAACUGACUGGAGGUCAGGUGUGUCACAUGCAAGAGCCGCAAACGACUGCAGCAAAGCGUUUUGUCUCGGGAGACUUGUGUACAAUAGCUUUGUGUUCCAAUCUCCGCAGUGGUCUGAUCCUUGAUUAGGUCUUCACACCCAGGAAACAGGUGCCGCUGCCUUCUCCGUGCCUGGUAUUCAUCACUGGAACAGCUCAGCACAAGCGCCGCCACUGUCUGACAGCAGCAUGCAAAAAGGAGACCGCACCAUCAUGAGCAGGGGGCUGUCUCCCCGCAGGGCCCCGCCCCCCGUCAUGCCCGGUCGCUCCUUAUCACGAACCGGAAAUUUCAACAACAGCAGCAGCAGAUUCGUCACAGGGUCACUCGAUCUCCAUGCCUCCCCUUACAAUGCCAACCGUGGAUUCUGGCAAGGAUUCACUGCAUACAGCACUCGGGAGAGCAGACCGAUGUACCGCCAUGCCAACGGGCUCAGCCGCAGGGGCGAUGAUUACGUCCACGAUCAAAGCAUCUUCUUUAGUACGUCGCCUCUGGUGAGCGGGCACUUCAUCAUUCACCCUGACUGGGUGUCCGAGCGCUCCGGACUGCGCCGCUCCAAGUCUCUACUCUCUUUCUAGACCAGGUCUUCGCCGCUCGUGACAAACUAGUCGUUUAUCGCAGUAGUUCUAGACUGACCACACAUCAUCGCAGAAUACAGUCGUCUAUCCCUGUGGCCAAGCUGUGUCCAUGCUAGCUCCUCGCACGAACGGUUUACUAGAGAUUCUGUCUAGAGUGUGAAAUGCAUCACCACACUUAUGUUACUCUAUGCCCCGCUACAAGAUCGAUGAUUAUUGGAGAGAGAGAAAGAGAGAGGAACUAUGAGGAAACCCGAGAUAUGAUUUCACAUAUAAUAAUUUUACAUCAAAGCUUUCAAAAAGAAAUGUAAACUUUUAACAAUUGUUACUGGACGACUGCAAUCAUGAUUGCAAUGAACCAUGCGAUGAAACAGUUUCUGUCCAGCCAUGACUGACCUCAAAAGCGGGGAACAUGUACAAAAUAAAAUGGGGUCAAGUAAUAUUGUUUUGCCAUCGAUGUGCCCUCCUCCUGCUCACAAACAAUGUGCCCUUCUAUUUAUCACCUCCCUGCAGAUAAUUAAUUUUUUGGGUCGUAUCCUAAUGAUGCCCUUCAUAUUCUGUAAGUAGAGAUUGACGCUCCUGUACUGUGUAGUUACUAUAUAUUACUCUCACAUUGUGUGCAACAUUAAGACUGUGCUGUGAUAUUACUAGAUUGUUUUCAUUCUUAACUAUUUUGUUUUAAUUUAUAGUGAGCUUUUUUCCUGUGCAUUUUACAUGCUGUAUACGAGCAUGCCACUUAACAUGUAUAGAUGUAAACUAUACAUUGUUGUCAUUUACCUGCAUCAGUAUUACUAACAGUAUUAUUAUUCUUUGAAGUUUUUACUUUAUUUCCUAGAAGUGGAUCUCUACUGACCGAUUUACAUCAUUAAAUAAACGAUUAAAAGAA
RNAcentral lists this unclassified non-coding RNA (2159 nucleotides) under Pomacea canaliculata. RNAcentral's name for it is "uncharacterized LOC112554443, transcript variant X3". The record is from RNAcentral. Lineage: Eukaryota; Metazoa; Mollusca; Gastropoda; Architaenioglossa; Ampullariidae.